This 340-nucleotide ribosomal RNA is filed under the name Anophryoides haemophila. RNAcentral describes it as "partial Bacterial large subunit ribosomal RNA". It matches the Rfam family "Bacterial large subunit ribosomal RNA", at positions 2116 to 2455 of the family's 2925-position model. Lineage: Eukaryota; Ciliophora; Oligohymenophorea; Philasterida; Glauconematidae. The record is from RNAcentral.
AUUGGUGUUUGGUUCGGCUUGUGUAGGAUAGGUGGGAGACUGUGAAGCGGCCACGCCAGUGGUUGUGGAGUCAACGUUGAAAUACCACUCUGGUCGUACUAGAUGUCUAACCUAGGGCCAUGAUCUGGUUCAGGGACAGUGCCUGAUGGGUAGUUUAACUGGGGCGGUUGCCUCCCAAAAUGUAACGGAGGCGCCCAAAGGUUCCCUCAGCCUGGUUGGCAAUCAGGUAGCGAGUGUAAGUGCACAAGGGAGCUUGACUGUGAGAGAGACAUCUCGAGCAGGGACGAAAGUCGGGACUAGUGAUCCGGCGGUACAUUGUGGAAUGGCCGUCGCUCAACGG